AGAACGAACGCUGGCGGCAUGCCUAAUACAUGCAAGUCGAACGAACUCUUCGGAGUUAGUGGCGCACGGGUGCGUAACGCGUGGGAAUCUGCCCCUUGGUUCGGAAUAACAGUUGGAAACGACUGCUAAUACCGGAUGAUGACGAAAGUCCAAAGAUUUAUCGCCAAGGGAUGAGCCCGCGUAGGAUUAGCUAGUUGGUGAGGUAAAGGCUCACCAAGGCAACGAUCCUUAGCUGGUCUGAGAGGAUGAUCAGCCACACUGGGACUGAGACACGGCCCAGACUCCGUACGGGAGGCAGCAGGUAGGGAAUAUUGGACAAGUGGGACGAAAGCCUGAUCCAGCAAUGCCGCGUGAGUGAUGGAAGGUCCUUAGGUUGUAAAGCUUACUUUACCCGAGAUGAAUA
Molecule: ribosomal RNA, 403 nt
Filed under: uncultured soil bacterium
Lineage: Bacteria
Description: bacterial SSU rRNA
Rfam family: Bacterial small subunit ribosomal RNA
Source: RNAcentral